RNAcentral lists this ribosomal RNA (484 nucleotides) under uncultured bacterium. RNAcentral's name for it is "partial 16S ribosomal RNA". It matches the Rfam family "Bacterial small subunit ribosomal RNA", at positions 30 to 507 of the family's 1533-position model. The record is from RNAcentral.
AUUGAACGCUGGCGGCAGGCCUAACACAUGCAAGUCGAGCGGAUGAAGGGAGCUUGCUCCUGGAUUCAGCGGCGGACGGGUGAGUAAUGCCUAGGAAUCUGCCUGGUAGUGGGGGAUAACGUCCGGAAACGGGCGCUAAUACCGCAUACGUCCUGAGGGAGAAAGUGGGGGAUCUUCGGACCUCACGCUAUCAGAUGAGCCUAGGUCGGAUUAGCUAGUUGGUGGGGUAAAGGCCUACCAAGGCGACGAUCCGUAACUGGUCUGAGAGGAUGAUCAGUCACACUGGAGCUGAGACACGGUCCAGACUCCUACGGGAGGCAGCAGUGGGGAAUAUUGGACAAUGGGCGAAAGCCUGAUCCAGCCAUGCCGCGUGCGUGAAGAAGGUCUUCGGAUUGUAAAGCACUUUAAGUUGGGAGGAAGGGCAGUAAGUUAAUGCCUUGCUGUUUUGACGUUACCAACAGAAUAAGCACCGGCUAACUUCGUG